Molecule: long non-coding RNA, 1148 nt
Organism: Ceratitis capitata (Mediterranean fruit fly)
Lineage: Eukaryota; Metazoa; Arthropoda; Insecta; Diptera; Tephritidae
Exons: 4
Source: RefSeq, a predicted model, not a curated record
CUGUGGCAUUCACACUUGAUUUUGUGCAACUUCCUUAUUGAGAGUUUCGAUCACAUGGGCGAUUCGUCGGGCAUUAGUAAUCUUCCAGAAAUCUACCGAAUUUGGGCUUGGUACGGCGCCGAAAUACGUCUGAUAUUCAUGAUUGCUGUAAAAUAACUGAUCUGCAUAGAUAUUAUAUGCUCCCCUUGUGUGCAUCGGGCACAGAUAAACAAAUGUAUCAGAGUAUAUGCGUGUGUGUACAAAACUUUUCCUCGAGUUUCCUGUGUUUGACGAGCACAACGAAGCCGUCUGUUGUCGUUGAGCAAUUUGGUGGCCCCAACGCUCCAAGACUAAACAGAUGCUGCGGGUGAAUGAAGUGAUUCCAAAAAUAGACGACUCCGCUCGUGCCAUCAGGCAAUGUGUGAGUACAACAACAGCGGGGAAGAAAUACACUUUAUGUCUUACCCUAUGCAUAUUCGCUUGCGUGUAUACUCGAAAAACAAAUUGAGCCCUUUUGAUUCAUUGGAGUACCUACCUACGUACCUCUCUGUUAUGUGGCAUCGGACCACUUCACGUCUCGCCAGCUGCUUAAGUACGAGCAUGUGGGGAAAAUGAAAAUGUAUUGAGCUGAAAUUGAAUCAUCGAUGAGCUCGGCUGGUAAACAGACGACGUGCUAUAGCUUGUCCUAAAAUUUUGAAAUCUGCAUGCUUUUGGAGUACUCUUCAUCUUUUUCUUAUUAUUUAGAUAAUUGUAUUUCUAGAGUAAUCGUUCCAGCUUGUUGAUGGAUUAAGCAUUUGGGUAGUUUUUCAAGAAGUUUCAGAAAAAUACUUUCCAAACCGGCUGAUCAGUAGACAAUGUGCUUUCAACGAGUUGGCUCCACAUUCCACACAAACCGAGCGAAUAUGACUUUAUUGCGAAAGAUAUUUCCGGGAUUGCGUCCAAUAUAGGCAUAAAGUGCUUGAAAGUUACCACAAACGGCACGAGUUUGUAAAAAUUCGCGAGGUGUACAUUUUAAUGAUGUGGUAUUUCACAUACAAUCCAAGGUUCAAAUUUUAUAAGAAAAAGUAAUCUCAUGAAAAAAAAUAUUUUAAAUGCGUUUCGUUAACGUGUAUUUUCAAAACCACAAAUUGGAUAACCCUGUAUGCUUGUAAAUUAUAGGCCGUCAUUAU